AACGCACAUUGCGCCCCUUGGUAUUCCAUGGGGCAUGCCUGUUCGAGCGUCAUUUGUACCUUCAAGCUCUGCUUGGUGUUGGGUGUUUGUCCCGCCUCUGUGCGUGGACUCGCCUUAAAGCAAUUGGCAGCCGACGUAUUGUUUCGGAGCGCAACACAAAUUGCGCUUUGUAGCUAUUACGACAGCAUCCAUCAAGCCCUUUUUCACGCUUGACCUCGGAUCAGGUAGGGAUACCCGCUGAACUUAA
RNAcentral lists this unclassified non-coding RNA (247 nucleotides) under uncultured fungus. Its description in RNAcentral is "partial contains 5.8S ribosomal RNA, internal transcribed spacer 2, and large subunit ribosomal RNA". The record is from RNAcentral. Lineage: Eukaryota; Fungi.